GAGGGGUAUGGGACUGGCGUCCCGGCUGGUCUGCAAAACCAGUAUAACGGUAAAGGAUUUUGCUGUGGUGGGUUCAAUUCCCACUACCCCUCUCCA
RNAcentral lists this transfer RNA (96 nucleotides) under Nitrospirota bacterium. RNAcentral describes it as "tRNA-OTHER". It matches the Rfam family "Selenocysteine transfer RNA". Lineage: Bacteria; Pseudomonadati; Nitrospirota. The record is from RNAcentral.